Long non-coding RNA from Polistes canadensis, 1455 nucleotides. RefSeq lists it as uncharacterized. The transcript has 3 exons. NCBI's taxonomy places the organism in Eukaryota, Metazoa, Arthropoda, Insecta, Hymenoptera, Vespidae. The record is from RefSeq and is a predicted model, not a curated record.
UUAGUCUCAGAAAAGCAAAUGAUUAUCUUCUAUAAUAUAUUCGAUGAUGUAAGCAUUUAGGUAAGACGUAACGUGACCGGUUGAAAUGAUUUUCGUGGAUCAUGUAGGUGCACGUGAUGAUCCUUCCCCUUUUAAGCUAUUACUGAAUAAAGAUGAUUUCAAAUCGAAUCAAUAAUAUGGAUCGUUUUCGAAAUUUUUAUUCGAAUGCUGUGAACUGAAGCAUUUCAGAAAUAUCGCGGCGGUAAAAGGCAUCGUUCGAAACUAUCGUGGAAGUCGUUAGCGAAGGCUUCUAAAAAAAGCACCAACGAUAAUCGUCCUCGACGAGCCGAUAAAGCAUGCAACGUACGUCUUAUACCCCCUAGAAGCUCCUUCCCCAGUCGAGAAAGCACGGUGACGAGCGUGUGUUAACGAUUUCUUCGAAACGUAAUACAGUAGGAGCGGGUACUCGACAACUGUUAAGAGUUUUUCGGAUUUAACAGAUAUCGAAUACGUUUUCAUCAUUCUAAUAUGCUUUAUUUUGAAUUCUUUUCUGAAGUAACUUUUUAUAGAUUAAAAAUAGGUAUCUCGCAAUAUUGUAAGUUCCAAAAUCGAUGUCUAUCGAUAAAGACUAUCAUUAUACUAUUCAAUAUUUGUAAAUCUCACGCAAUAUCCUAUCCAAGAUUAUUAUAUAUAGGUAAUAUAUAAACGCAAGUGAUUUAAAAAUUUCGAAAAGUCCCAAGGCGCACGGGGAAACACAUUUGCACGCGCUACGCGUAUUUUUUCCCCUUCCUCUUGACCGUCCGCCCUUACUCUUAAACCUUGUCGCGUGAUCUUCUAUAUCUCUGCUAUUAUAGCAGUUUCUCACCCACUCGCAUCGUUCUAUCUCGUUCGCGCUUACUACCCCACGUACCGACCUACUACUCUCUCUCUCUUUUUCUAUUUUUUUUCUUACUCCCACCAUACCGACCACGUAUGAAUAAAAGCCACGACCGGCUAUAAAAUGGCUACCGUUGUGAUGACACACGGCACACACCACGCUGGGUUGGCUCUUGUUCGUUUAUCGAGAAACAUAGAAAGAUACAAAAAGAUUCCCGCGCGAGAGAAGAUAAAACGAAGCCAACUGUGCGGAAAGGUCGAGGAGGAAGGAGAAGAAGCCACUGACGUCGUUGUUUGACUGUUCAAUCACUAGUGCGCGUACCGGAUCGGUAGCAGUGUUGGUUUUAUCGACCCUGCAAUACGUUUCUUCCAUCGCUGACGAUCCUCGUAAUUUCUACAUUUGUCGAUUUCAUCUUUUUUUGAUAAAAUUGUAACUGGUUCCAUUUCAUCGAAUGACUGAUGAACAUUUCCUUUUUCUUCAGAUGACACUUUUAAGAAGAUCAUCUUAUGAAUAAUGUUCCAGAUAACGUUUCCUCGCCAAUUGAGCAGCUGCAAAAUUCGGUUUAUGAUUAUGCUCUAUACUUACUUGCGGCUUCCUGC